Molecule: ribosomal RNA, 263 nt
Filed under: uncultured bacterium
Lineage: Bacteria
Description: partial 16S ribosomal RNA
Rfam family: Bacterial small subunit ribosomal RNA
Source: RNAcentral
GUCCACGCUGUAAACGAUGGGCACUAGGUGUGGGGGGUGUCGACUCCCUCCGUGCCGAAGCUAACGCAUUAAGUGCCCCGCCUGGGGAGUACGGCCGCAAGGCUAAAACUCAAAGGAAUUGACGGGGGCCCGCACAAGCAGCGGAGCAUGUGGUUUAAUUCGACGCAACGCGAAGAACCUUACCUUGGCUUGACAUGUUCCUGACCGUCCUGGAAACAGGGCUUCCCUUCGGGGCAGGAUCACAGGUGGUGCAUGGCUGUCGU